AUCAUUUCCCUUCCACCUUCCUCCUCGCCGCUUCCUCUCCCUCCACCGCGCAGCUCCAGCCGCCUUGCCGCCGCCGCAUCCCCUUCCAAGUUCAGGCUGUGGGUGGAACCUGUUGCUUUAGCUCACGUUUCCCUUCCCCUCCGGGCUGCACGCUGAGGAUGACCUCAGCGAGGUGUGUGUAAGGGGAAUGGAGGGUUUGGCUUCCUUGAGACAGAGGAUCUUGCUCGCCUCAAAGAGGAGGGCAGUUUGCCCCCUUCCUCCUGACUCCAAGACAAAAGAGAGAAGACUGAAGAGUGGUAAAGCUUGUGGUGUGAGAUUUGGAUUGUUGGAAGAGGUCAAAGGAAUAUCUUUAAAAGGGAUCCAGGGCCUCUCAGAGUUCACCUGAGCUUUCCCAAGUCUGGUUUGUUCUCUCUACCCUGCUGCUACUACUGCAAGUGACUUUCACAAGAUGCUUCUGAGCAUAGCAUUGCUCUGCUGUGACCACUGCAGAUGUCAAGAGAAUUUCUGCCUUUUGGAACUUGGACAAUAUUGGCCACCUACCCAGAGAGAGGAGAAGGAUAAUCCAGACAUAAAGGUAGCUCCCACACAUCCUUUGGAUCUCUGAUAAAGAGUCAUAUACUUAAAGAGCCAUCCUCACAUUCCUGCCCAGACUGUGAGCUGCAUGAGAGAGGCCAUGUCUCAUUUUGUUCCAUUACAUCUCCAGCACUUAAGAGUGCUGGACACAUAACGAGUGUCUGACACAUAACGAGUGCUGAAUAAAUGUUUGUUAACUGAUAAAAUG
RNAcentral lists this long non-coding RNA (781 nucleotides) under Homo sapiens (human). RNAcentral's name for it is "non-protein coding IQCJ-SCHIP1-AS1:10". The record is from RNAcentral. Lineage: Eukaryota; Metazoa; Chordata; Mammalia; Primates; Hominidae.